UACGGAGGAUGCGAGCGUUAUCCGGAUUUAUUGGGUUUAAAGGGUGCGUAGGCGGGCUGUUAAGUCAGCGGUAAAAUUUGGAGGCUCAACCUCCACGAGCCGUUGAAACUGGCUGUCUUGAGAUGUCGAGAGGUAUGCGGAAUGCGUGGUGUAGCGGUGAAAUGCAUAGAUAUCACGCAGAACUCCGAUUGCGAAGGCAGCAUACCGGCGCCCAACUGACGCUGAGGCACGAAAGCGUGGGUAUCGAACAGG
This 252-nucleotide ribosomal RNA is filed under the name uncultured Bacteroidales bacterium. RNAcentral describes it as "partial 16S ribosomal RNA". It matches the Rfam family "Bacterial small subunit ribosomal RNA", at positions 524 to 776 of the family's 1533-position model. Lineage: Bacteria; Pseudomonadati; Bacteroidota; Bacteroidia; Bacteroidales. The record is from RNAcentral.